AGUGAACGCUGGCGGUAGGCCUAACACAUGCAAGUCGAACGGCAGCACAGUAAGAGCUUGCUCUUACGGGUGGCGAGUGGCGGACGGGUGAGGAAUACAUCGGAAUCUACUUUUUCGUGGGGGAUAACGUAGGGAAACUUACGCUAAUACCGCAUACGACCUACGGGUGAAAGCAGGGGAUCUUCGGACCUUGCGCGAUUGAAUGAGCCGAUGUCGGAUUAGCUAGUUGGCGGGGUAAAGGCCCACCAAGGCGACGAUCCGUAGCUGGUCUGAGAGGAUGGUCAGCCACACUGGAACUGAGACACGGUCCAGGCUCCUACGGGAGGCAGCAGUGGGGAAUAUUGGACAAUGGGCGCAAGCCUGAUCCAGCCAUACCGCGUGGGUGAAGAAGGCCUUCGGGUUGUAAAGCCCUUUUGUUGGGAAAGAAAAGCAGCAGGUUAAUACCCCGCUGUUCUGACGGUACCCAAAGAAUAAGCACCGGCUAACUUCGUG
Molecule: ribosomal RNA, 492 nt
Filed under: uncultured bacterium
Lineage: Bacteria
Description: partial 16S ribosomal RNA
Rfam family: Bacterial small subunit ribosomal RNA
Source: RNAcentral